CGCAAGCUCGCGAGAGUAAGCUAAUCUCUUAAAGCCGUUCUCAGUUCGGACUGUAGGCUGCAACUCGCCUACACGAAGUCGGAAUCGCUAGUAAUCGCGGAUCAGCAUGCCGCGGUGAAUACGUUCCCGGGUCUUGUACACACCGCCCGUCAAGCCAUGGGAGCCGGGGGUGCCUGAAGUUCGUGACCGCAAGGAGCGACCUAGGGCAAAACUGGUGACUGGGGCUAAGUCGUAACAAGGUAAC
RNAcentral lists this ribosomal RNA (244 nucleotides) under uncultured bacterium. RNAcentral describes it as "partial 16S ribosomal RNA". It matches the Rfam family "Bacterial small subunit ribosomal RNA", at positions 1248 to 1500 of the family's 1533-position model. The record is from RNAcentral.